CUCUUCCGGCAGCAGCAGAGACGGUGUGGCUGACUCUGCGUGAUGGCGCCAGGAAUGCGGAGGGGGGUGCUGGUGGUGGUGGUGGGUAUAUUCAGCAGAAGACAGGGGGGCAGGUCAGGCCUCCCCCUCCCCAGCUCCAGUGCCUGCUGCUGGCUGCCUGGUUGGCUCCUUCUCUGCUGUUACAGACAGAAGAACCUUCCCCCCCUUCCGAGGGGUUUCCUCUCAACAUUGUGUAUCCCUCCAACGUUUUUGCUGCAGACCAUCCUGAGGAUGCAGGUGGCAACUGGGAGACCUGAAGGCAUCGCAUGCGGAGCUUCCAUUUGAAUCCCAAAGGGAGGUCCCAUCAUCAGCUCGCUUUCAAAAUGCUUCCUCUUGAAGGUGAAGAUGACUGAGGGUUGAUGUCUGCCGGCAUCCUGAGAAGAUGGGUGCUCUACCAGGAUGAGUGUCCAGAGUUUCCCGUCCCUCCAGUUCUGGUCUGAGUGGCGGCCAGUGGUCUGCUUCUCCUCCUCCUCCUCCUCCCGCCAUAACUUCAUCCUUCAUCAUCACAUCCUGCUUCUGACAUUCUUAUGGCCCCAACCAAAAACCUGCAAGGUUAGCAUAGCAACAGCAGUAAACAAUCCAUUCCUUAAUGGAAGUUUGGUCGUGUUUGGUCGCACAGCCAGUUGGAGAAAAUCUUCAUUGGAAAAACAGGAGGCGUUGCCCCUUUUUGGCUCUCAGUUUAGAUCCCACUUUGGUCCAGUGCCGGCUUCAUCAUGGCAGGUAGGAAAAUGUUCAGCGCUUGUUGAAUCUUCACCAUCACCUCCUGCUUCUGACAUUCUUCUGGCCCCUGUGGAUCCCAGAGCAUGUUUGCGUGGGAGGACUUUGGGGGGACCGGGGUGGCGUUUUCUCACUAUCAGCUGCCCUGACACUUUGGGCUGUGAUUCCCAACAAAUGGAGCCGGCUGCGGGCGAGAGGUGACCAUCUCCUGACGAUGGGAAGAAGGAAUCCUGCCCUCCCCUUACGUGACCCACCAAGAGUCUUUCAUACUGAUGUAUACUCUGAUGUUGGACUGUCCCUGCGUGCAGACUGUCAUCAGCUGGUUCCGUCGCUCUCAUGGAGGAACACCUGCCGUUUCACGGGAUUGGAACGGGAAAUGUAUCCAAGGGACUUGGACAUUGACCUGGUCUCUUCCAAGAGUUCCAUUGCUCCCAGGGAGGAACACUCACCAUUUUGGUGGAUUGGGACUGGAAAUGAAUCCAAGGAACUUGAAAAGUGACCUGGUCUCUUCUUUUCCAAGAAGUCAUAUUUUGGGGGAUCUGCUCCAAAUCAGCUCCACUGCUGCACCUCUACUGACUGGCCAGCGGCAAGGGUGAUUUCCAGUGCUGCGCAUGCAAAGGAUGUCCAAGUGGAUGGGCAAGACGGCAAGAAGUUGUUGUAUUUUUUGACACGUAAGGAGGUGCUCCAGCAGUACAGAUGGUGGCAUCUUGAAUGGUGCCCUUCCACUGCUGCUUCCUUUCCCCCCAAGAGGUCAGCACUAGAUGAUCGGCCAGUCUACAUAUGGCCUGCAGCCAGAGCAAUGGCUUUUCGGAAGGAGCAGAUGGCUACUCUUCUUAAGGGGUUGGCUUUUGGGGGUAGCGUGGUAUGAAGCCACAGAGAUGGAGGCUAGUGGUGGCAUCAGGCCUCUUGCUGGGUAUUGUUCAGAAUCAUCUGGGAUGUGUGCGGCCUCACCUGUCAGAACAAGGAAGAGGGCAGAAGUGUGCGCUUCCUACUGCUCCCAGCUACCAGCUGGUCAUCCAAGGCCAGGCUCGCCUCCUGAGCACCCUUCUGUGAGUGGCUUCCUUCUGCUUCCCAUCUUCCAGGGUUGUUGCUUUAACUUGCUGUUCCUCCUCUGACCGCUCCAAGGACUGGAUCCCUUCCCCAUCAUCACCACACGGGCGACUUCUAGCCCUUGUGAACAUCUCACACCACUCAAAGUGUCCCAUAUUUCUCCAUCCUGCUCAGACCUAAGUUUGCUGGAAAUGUGGUGGGUGUGAGAGGGCUGAACUUCUGCAGAUGUACUGGGACUGCCCUUGUAUUGUAAUGCAUUGUAUUGGUAUUGUAUUGGUAUUGAAUUGGUAUUGUAAAAUCAACAAAUUUCACUCAAAUGCAGGAAAGAAGAUCAUGAGAUGGUGAUUUUGUGUUGAAUUGGAGUCCUUUUAUUUUAUUAAUUUCUAGAAUCACAAUAUGGAACCUUUUCUUUCAUUGGUUGUAAUUCAGUAAAGUUGGAAUUGAACUGUACCCACCCACCCCUUCUUCCCUUGGCUAAUGGAAUAUCUUUCUGCUCUUGACUAGUGAUUGAUACUUCUGUUUGUUUUUAUGUCUGAGAAAAUAAAAAGUUGGUUAAAACGUUUAA
This is a long non-coding RNA of Hemicordylus capensis (graceful crag lizard), 2371 nucleotides long. RefSeq lists it as uncharacterized. The record is from RefSeq and is a predicted model, not a curated record. The transcript is spliced from 4 exons. NCBI's taxonomy places the organism in Eukaryota, Metazoa, Chordata, Lepidosauria, Squamata, Cordylidae.